UCACAAUUUCAUAUUAUUAUCAAUAAUCAACAAAAAGAAAGAAAUGGUGAUCCAUUGUUCUUACCUUAGCUUCGCGAUUUUGCAAAUAGUUUGCACGUUGAUCGGUUGAUCCUAUGUAGAAUUGGAAUCAGAAACAAAUUUUAUGCAACUCUUGUAUUUUAAGAAGAAGAAGAACAAGGUGGUUGAUGGCUUGAGCUGCAAUUCGCUCGUCGACUUCCCUUAUUUAUUUUGGUAUAGUGUUUUAUACUGUAUUAGCUUAAAGUUUAGGAUGUUUUAAUUUUGUGACUAGUGUAUCGAAAGUAAUAUGAAUAUUAUAUUGCUGAUUUAUGCAUGAAAUUGCUUUUGCUUAUUGUUAUAGUA
This is a long non-coding RNA of Chenopodium quinoa (quinoa), 360 nucleotides long. RefSeq lists it as uncharacterized. Lineage: Eukaryota; Viridiplantae; Streptophyta; Magnoliopsida; Caryophyllales; Amaranthaceae. The transcript has 2 exons. The record is from RefSeq and is a predicted model, not a curated record.